GGAUAUUUAAAAGGAAAUGUUUAUUUUCAUGUUAUAAGGUGAUUACAAACUCUUCUAAAAAAAAAAAAGCAAAGAUGAAUUUAAAAUAUCGAUAUACGUAUUUAUCUAAAAAGCCAAAGAGGAAAGGAAAAACCCUGCAAAAUACAGGGAUUCGUAUCAGAAAACAGUUAUACACAAAAGCUUGUAUACUGCAAGAAUGAAUUACACACCAAAAUUCUUAUUCAAAUACAAAUGCUCCUCCUCAGAAGAAUCUCAUGUUGGUUGAUUUUUUUUUUUUUUUACAAAAGUUUAAAAUAUCUUAAAAAUAUUCGAAGUUUAAAAAAAAAGUCCUGAUGAGCCAGACAUAUUUCUGGAAGGAGGCAAGACCCACGUUCUCAGCUUUCUCUUGGGCUGAGAGUCACAGUUGCUAGGGAUUCAAGAAUUAACUGGGUUAAAAAAAAAAUGGAGCCAACAUCUCAGUUUGAAGCCAGACAUACACCAAGAUGCUCCAGGCCCUCAGGGAGCAUGUCUGUAGUGAAACCGUGGAGAACAAUGAAACACAGCUUGGGAACUGCAGUCUGAAAGCCAGGCAUUGAGAGGGAGGGACUGGGGAGAAAUGCUGUUUCCUGGCUUCUGGCUGCCCACACUCCUCUCCAGGUCUUGGUAUCUGAGCUUUGCUUUCCUGUGGUUUUGUGCUUGUUGGACUUUUGCACAGUGAUGUUUACAGCAUCCACGUGGACAGACCGGCCUGGGGCCACCUGACACUGGGUCUGCGGGCUGGAUGGGCUCUCUAGCUGCCUCAGGUGCUUUGCUGGCCUGUGUCUGCAGCAUGGGGAAGGGAGGCAGUCUGCCUUAGCACUCGGGCUGCCCAGAGCACUGUCCCAUCCCGAGGGAUGGUUCUGGGAGAUGCUGGCUGGGCCGCUGACCACUGUGCCCUGGCGCCUGGGGAUAUGAGAACACCCAGUGCUAGGCUGAGGUGGGGGGUGUCCCUCUCCUCUUGUGCUUCCUCACAAUCUUGGGGUGUCCUGGAGAUCUGGGGUGAGAAUGUGGGACCAGAGGUACCGAGGGGGAGUGUGUAUUGUCCAGAAAUCACCCAAGACCACUUCCUGCUGCAUGGGCAUUUCCCAUGUGGCCUCAGGCAAAAUUCUGUCCCAGGGGCUCUGCCUCCUACACCUCAACUGGCUUCCCAGCUUAACAGGGGUCUAGUGUCUCACUCAGAGGACUGCGGGGGCAGGGGCAGGUGAACCAGGGGUGCCUGUCCCACUGAGCCACAGCUUGGAGUCCAGAUGGCCCCAGAGGAUAAUCAGGGGGUGGGGUGCUGCUCUGAAUGCUGGGGACAGAGCAUGUCCUUUUUCAUAAAGGCUGCUCUUUGGUCUUCAGGGAGAACAGGCCCAUUUGACCACAAGGACACUGACUGGGGGGCCCUGGAAGCCUGUCCUUCACUGACUGUGCGGCUCCAUAGCAGGGAAUGAUAGGGCCCAGGCCCAGCUCAGCGGAGCUUCUCCCUGGGUGAGAUUACCUGGGGCCUCACCCACUUCUGCCUCCUAAAAGCAUCCUUUAAACAUCUCCCUUGCAUCCCUUGUAGAUCUGGCUGCCAGCAUCAGAAUUUCCAACCCAUCCCAGGCAUAGUGCCCAGAGGAGGGCGGACCAGAGUCAUGAGCCCCAAUCACAAGUUUUCUUUAUGCAGAGACAUAAAAGUCACAUCAUCACACAUGGUGCUCACAGAGCAGAGUUCUGAGGAUACAAAAGAGCCAGGGGCUCAGACAGGAGACAGUGGUUAGUUAACGAAAGUUCCAUAAGACAAAGGAAAACAGGUCACAUUGCUACUCAGUAAAAUCAGGGGAAAAACCCCCAAAACAAUAAAAAUCAAAUCAGACACAGUGGCAACCAUAAAUACAUAGUACAACAGGAACACAGGCUUGCUAACGGUGUGGAAUAGGAUUGGGUGUUUGGCAGAGCACGUGGUUUGGAGACAGCGGACUGUGAAUGCUCGCCAAGGACGAGAGGUUCAGAACUGCCUCUGCCCUUGGGGGGACACCCAGGGCCCCUCCGCUGCUGGGACAUGGGGACGGGGUGCCAGGACUCGGAGCACCCUGCUCUAAACGCCUGAGCUGGACUGCGUGCUGCACACCCUCGAGGCAGUCACUGCUGUUUGUGUGUGAAAGUGUUUCGGUUUACUUUAGACUCUGAACUUGGAAGUUUCUGUUUAAAUGGCACAGCUUAGGUCCGAAUGCGGGCUGGGGUGGAGGCACAUCCGAAGCUGGGAUUUUAAAGGUGGAGUACCUUCUCUCCUGGUUCAGGAGGAGUGCUGCUCCAAACAAGCUCUGGGUCAGGCCAUUGCUGGGGUGCCCGUCCCCGAACAUCCUGACUCACCCCUCAUCCCUGUCCCACAGAGCGCAUGCCUGACCGCAGCUUUUGUGGGUUCGAGGGAGCAUUUCCUCAUCUCCCAGGUCACCACCAGGGUGGCACAGGUGGCUGAACUUGGAGGAGUCUGGGGAUUAUGUGACCCCAAUCAGAGGUCGCUUGUGGCACUCCCUGCUGGGUGCUGGGGUGGCCCGGGGCUGGGAUCUUGAGCAAGAGUCUCCGGGGGACCAGGGCCGAGCCAAGGGUGGAGCUCCCCACUCCUGACACUGG
This 2613-nucleotide long non-coding RNA is filed under the name Sus scrofa (pig). RNAcentral describes it as "lncRNA (ENSSSCG00050069124.1)". Lineage: Eukaryota; Metazoa; Chordata; Mammalia; Artiodactyla; Suidae. The record is from RNAcentral.